UACGUAGGGUGCAAGCGUUGUCCGGAAUUAUUGGGCGUAAAGAGCUCGUAGGCGGUUUGUUGCGUCGGCUAUGAAAACCUGAGGCUCAACCUCAGGCCUGCAGUCGAUACGAGCAGACUAGAGUGUUGCAGGGGAGACUGGAAUUCCUGGUGUAGCGGUGAAAUGCGCAGAUAUCAGGAGGAACACCGGUGGCGAAGGCGGGUCUCUGGGCAACAACUGACGCUGAGGAGCGAAAGCGUGGGGAGCGAACAGG
Molecule: ribosomal RNA, 253 nt
Filed under: uncultured bacterium
Lineage: Bacteria
Description: partial 16S ribosomal RNA
Rfam family: Bacterial small subunit ribosomal RNA
Source: RNAcentral